This 269-nucleotide long non-coding RNA is filed under the name Physcomitrium patens. RNAcentral describes it as "long non-coding RNA (PPAT_LNC011995)". The record is from RNAcentral. Lineage: Eukaryota; Viridiplantae; Streptophyta; Bryopsida; Funariales; Funariaceae.
UUGGAAUAUUUCCAAAUCAUUGAUAGUGACCUCAAAUUUUUGUAGUUACACAUGCACAAGUUCUGCAAUUGCAUCAAGACUCAUUCUCAAUCUUGUGCUUCAUAAUUUAGAGUUACACACUUAAGAAUAAAAUUCUGUAUGUCAACAUAUGUGAUCAGCUAAGAAAAAUAUUAAUAAGAUGUUACAUAAUGUAUCAAUAUAAUUAUUAUAUUUCUUACACAUGAAGGUUUAUGUAAUACUGUAAAGUUCAAGCAUAUUUAUGUGUUUAC